Molecule: ribosomal RNA, 506 nt
Filed under: uncultured bacterium
Lineage: Bacteria
Description: partial 16S ribosomal RNA
Rfam family: Bacterial small subunit ribosomal RNA
Source: RNAcentral
AUUGAACGCUGGCGGCAGGCCUAACACAUGCAAGUCGGACGGUAGCACAGAGGAGCUUGCUCCUCGGGUGACGAGUGGCGGACGGGUGAGUAAUGUCUGGGGAUCUGCCCGAUAGAGGGGGAUAACCACUGGAAACGGUGGCUAAUACCGCAUAACGUCGCAAGACCAAAGAGGGGGACCUUCGGGCCUCUCACUAUCGGAUGAACCCAGAUGGGAUUAGCUAGUAGGCGGGGUAAUGGCCCACCUAGGCGACGAUCCCUAGCUGGUCUGAGAGGAUAACCAGCAACACUGGAACGGAGACACGGUCCAGACUCCUAGGGGAGGCAGCAGUGGGGAAUAUGGCACAAGGGGCGAAAGCCUGAUGCAGCCAUGCCGCGUGUAUGAAGAAGGCCUUCGGGUUGUAAAGUACUUUCAGCGGGGAGGAAGGCGAUAAGGUUAAUAACCUUGUCGAUUGCCGUUACCCGCAGAAGAAGCACCGGCUAACUCCGUGCCAGCCGCCGCGGUAA